Molecule: non-coding RNA, 958 nt
Filed under: Acrossocheilus paradoxus (Taiwan torrent carp)
Lineage: Eukaryota; Metazoa; Chordata; Actinopteri; Cypriniformes; Cyprinidae
Description: 12S ribosomal RNA
Rfam family: Bacterial small subunit ribosomal RNA
Source: RNAcentral
AAAAGGCAUGGUCCCGACCUUACUAUCAGCUGUAACACAAUUUACACAUGCAAGUCUCCGCCACCCAGUGAGUAUGCCCUCAGUCCCCCGCCCGGAGACGAGGAGCGGGCAUCAGGCACAAUCGUUAGCCCAAGACGGUAGCCAAGCCACACCCCCCUGGGAAUUCAGCAGAGAUUAACAUUAAGCCAUAAGUGAAGGCUUGACUCAGUUAGUGUUAAUAGGGCCGGUAAAACUCGUGCCAGCUACCGCGGUUAGACGGGAGGCCCUAGUUGAUAUUACAACGGCGUAAAGGGUGGUUAAGGACAAACAAAUUUUUAAAGCCAAAGGGCCCCUUGGCCGUCAUACGCUCCUGGAAGCCCGAAGCCCAAUACACGAAAGUAGCUUUAAUAAAAACCUACCUCACCCCACACAAGCUGAGUUAACAAACUGGGAUUAGAUACCCCACUAUGCUCACCCGUAAACCAAGACAUCCGCCUACAAUUACAUGUCCGCCAGGGUUCUACGAGCAACAGCUUAAAACCCAAAGGACCAGACGGUGUCUUAGACCCCGCUAGAGGCGCCUGUUCUCGAACCGAUAACCCUGGUUCAACCUCACCACUCAUAGCCACCCCUGCCUAUUACCGCCGUCGUCAGCUUACCCUGUGAAGGAGUAAAAGUAAGCAAAAUGGGCACAACCCAGAACGUCAGGUCGAGGUGUAGCGCAUGAAGUGGGAAGAAAUGGGCUACAAUUUCUAUCACAGAACAUUACCGACACGCACCAUGAUAACAGUGCAUGAAGGCGGAUUCAGUAGUAAUAAGGAAUCAGAGAGUCCCUUCGAACCGGGCUCUGAGACGCGUACACACCGCCCGUCACCCUCCCCGUCAUAAACACACCAAAAAUACCUAAUACAACAACAAUAACAAGGGGAGGCAAGUCGUAACAUGGUAAGUGUACCGGAAGGUGCACUUGGAUCAAACC